GAUGAACGCUGGCGGCGUGCCUAAUACAUGCAAGUCGAGCGAACAGAUGAGGAGCUUGCUCCUCUGACGUUAGCGGCGGACGGGUGAGUAACACGUGGAUAACCUACCUAUAAGACUGGGAUAACUUCGGGAAACCGGAGCUAAUACCGGAUAAUAUAUUGAACCGCAUGGUUCAAUAGUGAAAGACGGUUUUGCUGUCACUUAUAGAUGGAUCCGCGCCGCAUUAGCUAGUUGGUAAGGUAACGGCUUACCAAGGCAACGAUGCGUAGCCGACCUGAGAGGGUGAUCGGCCACACUAGAGCUGAGACCCGGUCCAGACUCCUACGGGAGGCAGAAGUAGGGAAUCUUCCGCAAUGGGCGAAAGCCUGACGGAGCAACGCCGCGUGAGUGAUGAAGGUCUUCGGAUCGUAAAGCUCUGUUAUUAGGGAAGAACAAAUGUGUAAGUAACUAUGCACGUCUUGACGGUACCUAAUCAGAAAGCCACGGCUAACUACGUG
RNAcentral lists this ribosomal RNA (497 nucleotides) under uncultured bacterium. RNAcentral describes it as "partial 16S ribosomal RNA". It matches the Rfam family "Bacterial small subunit ribosomal RNA", at positions 28 to 507 of the family's 1533-position model. The record is from RNAcentral.